AUUGAACGCUGGCGGCAUGCCUUACACAUGCAAGUCGAACGGUAACAGGUCUUCGGAUGCUGACGAGUGGCGAACGGGUGAGUAAUACAUCGGAACGUGCCUAGUAAUGGGGGAUAACUACUCGAAAGAGUGGCUAAUACCGCAUGAGAUCUACGGAUGAAAGCAGGGGAUCGCAAGACCUUGUGCUACUAGAGCGGCCGAUGGCAGAUUAGGUAGUUGGUGGGAUAAAAGCUUACCAAGCCGACGAUCUGUAGCUGGUCUGAGAGGACGAUCAGCCACACGGGGACUGAGACACGGCCCAGACUCCUACGGAAGGCAGCAGUGGGGAAUUUUGGACAAUGGGCGCAAGCCUGAUCCAGCAAUGCCGCGUGCAGGAUGAAGGCCUUCGGGUUGUAAACUGCUUUUGUACGGAACGAAAAGCCCCGGGUUAAUACCCUGGGGUCAUGACGGUACCGUAAGAAUAAGCACCGGCUAACUACGUGCCAGCCGCCGCCGUAA
This 498-nucleotide ribosomal RNA is filed under the name uncultured bacterium. RNAcentral's name for it is "partial 16S ribosomal RNA". It matches the Rfam family "Bacterial small subunit ribosomal RNA", at positions 30 to 523 of the family's 1533-position model. The record is from RNAcentral.